AACCUUAUAGUCUAUUAAAUUAUGACAUUAAAUUGCAAGUUUGAAAGAGAGUAAUUAUUCUAAGGUUU
RNAcentral lists this transfer RNA (68 nucleotides) under Canthidium sp. DPP-2018. Its description in RNAcentral is "tRNA-Cys". The record is from RNAcentral. Lineage: Eukaryota; Metazoa; Arthropoda; Insecta; Coleoptera; Scarabaeidae.